Unclassified non-coding RNA from Papio anubis (olive baboon), 117 nucleotides. It matches the Rfam family "Metazoan signal recognition particle RNA". From Rfam's summary of the family: The signal recognition particle (SRP) is a universally conserved ribonucleoprotein. The record is from Ensembl. Lineage: Eukaryota; Metazoa; Chordata; Mammalia; Primates; Cercopithecidae.
GCCGGGCACGGUGGCUCAUGCCUGUAAUCCCAGCUUUCUGGGAGGCUGAGGUGGGAGGAUCGCUUGAGCCCAGGAGUUUGAGACCAGCCUGGCCAACAUAGUGAGACCCCGUCUCUA